This is a long non-coding RNA of Oreochromis aureus, 436 nucleotides long. Lineage: Eukaryota; Metazoa; Chordata; Actinopteri; Cichliformes; Cichlidae. The record is from Ensembl.
GGGGGAGUUUUAGGAGGAGAGGGACGGUGAAAGAGAAAGUGGGUUAAAGGUGAGAGGGACGGUGAAAGAGAAAGUGGGUUAAAGACGCCGAGGAGCAGCUAAACAAAACGUUGAAAGAGCUGAAGGCCAAAGAAAAAGAAAAGAAAGCCGAGGACACGAGGGGAUUCUGGAGCAGACUGCUGAGAAAGAACUGACCCAGCAGCAUCAAGUUUAAGGAGAUCAACAGCUUCUUCCUCCUUCCCCCUUUCUCCACCUUUCUUUCACCCCAUCCUUCUUCUCCUCUCUCUCUCUCUCAUCUUCUCUACCCUGACCUCUCACCUUUAACCCACUUUCUCUUUCACCGUCCCUCUCCUCCUAAAACUCCCCCCAAACUUUACUUGGGACGUUUGUUUGUUUUUUAAAAACUCUAAUCUGAAUACAUGUACUGAAAUACACA